CCUACGGUAGGCAGCAGUGGGGGAUAUUGCACAAUGGGGGAAACCCUGAUGCAGCGACGCCGCGUGGGCGAAGAAGUAUUUCGGUAUGUAAAGCCCUAUCAGCAGGGAAGACAAAAGGACGGUACCUGCAGCAGAAGCCACGGCUAACUACGUGCCAGCAGCCGCGGUAAUACGUAGGUGGCAAGCGUUAUCCGGAAUUACUGGGUGUAAAGGGUGUGUAGGCGGGUUUGCAAGUCAGAUGUGAAAAUUAUGGGCUCAACCCAUAACCUGCGUCUGAAACUACAGAUCUUGAGAGUGGGAGAGGUAAACGGAAGUCCCGGUGUAGCGGUGAAAUGCGUAGAUAUCGGGAGGAACACCAGUGGCGAAGGCGGUUUACUGGACCACAACUGACGCUGAGACACGAAAGCGUGGGGAGCAAACAGGAUUAGAUACCCCAGUAGUC
This 442-nucleotide ribosomal RNA is filed under the name uncultured bacterium. RNAcentral's name for it is "partial 16S ribosomal RNA". It matches the Rfam family "Bacterial small subunit ribosomal RNA", at positions 338 to 795 of the family's 1533-position model. The record is from RNAcentral.